GAAUAUGGUUGGAUACUGUGAUUGAAGAUUGUUUCUUGUUUGAAUAUUGUUGGAUACUGUGACUGAAGACUCUUACUUAACUGAAUAUUGUUGGAUACUGUGACUGAAGACUGUUACCUGACUGAAUAUUGUUGGAUACCGUGACAAGAAUAAUUGCGCCACACUUUGUGUGUGUGUGACAAUCAUUGGUGCUUUAACUUUAACUUUAACUGAAGACUGUUACUUGACUGAAUAUUGUUGUAUACCAUGACUGAAGACCGUUACUCAACUGAAUAUUGUUGGAUACCGUGACUGAAGACUGUUAGUUGACUGAAUAUUGUUGGAUACCGUGUGACGACUGGGUCGCAUCGUGGUACGAGGUUGUUCUCCCAGGAAUGCAGACGGAUUCGGACACAGCGUGCAGGUCGCCGGCAUGAGAGACAAGCACGCUGACUACCAGGCUAAAAUCCCGGGCUACCAACUCGAGAGCCAGCAUUGCUCUUGAAGUCGUCAGCGAGUGAUGUUUACCAAGAGAAAAAGAACCCAUCUUCUCUCUGUCGACAGGACAAAAUAUGAAAUAAUUCAUGAGAGGAAGACUUCUCCACCAUGUCUCCUUAUUACAAGCAGCACUUAACAACGCCUGCAUGCUCUUUAUGCGCUUCAAAAACACCUCCGCACUCAUAAAUACCACCGCCAGCCCUCAGGGUGGCUCGUAUGCCAACGGUUGCCUCGGUAAUUGCAUGUGGGGAACAAGCCAGAGGGCUGGCCAUGAAGUGGUGAAGGCCCGGUCCUUCAUCCAGGAGAUGAACUGCUACAGGGAUUCUCUGGCAUGACAGCAUCACGGACUCGGAAUGGUAACGUGGAUUAUGAUUUCAGUUGCAACGAGACAUUGUGUGAACUGUGAUGCUUUGAAAGUUUUACAUGGCUUUCCAUUCAGAUGUCAACUGCUAAGAUGCUUACGGCCGCUAGGAGGCUUUUUUGCGUGGCACAGCUCAGUUAGAAUAAAUAUGAUAUAUAAUUAAAACAUGUGGGGACCAUUUUGAUAUAUAUUUUUUUUGUUUUUUUUUUGUUUAGGGCUUCCCUCAAGCACCGGGAAGGGUAUCAGUUAUAAAUAUGAUAAAAGAAAAUAAAAAAUAAAAUGUAUACUCUUUUUUUUUUCAAAACUUCAAUUUCUAGAUCAACGUCCGAUCUGCCGAAAAAUUUUAAUUAAUUUUAUUUUUUUUAUGUUUUAAGACCUUUUUGUUUAAUAAAACCCUGUUAUUUUAUGGC
Molecule: long non-coding RNA, 1248 nt
Organism: Nerophis lumbriciformis (worm pipefish)
Lineage: Eukaryota; Metazoa; Chordata; Actinopteri; Syngnathiformes; Syngnathidae
Source: RefSeq, a predicted model, not a curated record